Molecule: ribosomal RNA, 489 nt
Filed under: uncultured bacterium
Lineage: Bacteria
Description: partial 16S ribosomal RNA
Rfam family: Bacterial small subunit ribosomal RNA
Source: RNAcentral
AUUGAACGCUGGCGGCAGGCCUAACACAUGCAAGUCGAACGGUAACAGGAAGCAGCUUGCUGCUUCGCUGACGAGUGGCGGACGGGUGAGUAAUGUCUGGGAAGCUGCCUGAUGGAGGGGGAUAACUACUGGAAACGGUAGCUAAUACCGCAUAAUGUCGCAAGACCAAAGAGGGGGCCUUCGGGCCUCUUGCCAUCGGAUGUGCCCAGAUGGGAUUAGCUUGUUGGUGGGGUAACGGCUCACCAAGGCGACGAUCCCUAGCUGGUCUGAGAGGAUGACCAGCCACACUGGGACUGAGACACGGUCCAGACUCCUACGGGAGGCAGCAGUGGGGAAUAUUGCACAAUGGGCGCAAGCCUGAUGCAGCCAUGCCGCGUGUAUGAAGAAGGCCUUCGGGUUGUAAAGUACUUUCAGCGGGGAGGAAGGGAGUAAAGUUAAUACCUUUGCUCAUUGACGUUACCCGCAGAAGAAGCACCGGCUAACUCCGUG